Molecule: long non-coding RNA, 87 nt
Organism: Salarias fasciatus (jewelled blenny)
Lineage: Eukaryota; Metazoa; Chordata; Actinopteri; Blenniiformes; Blenniidae
Exons: 3
Source: RefSeq, a predicted model, not a curated record
CUGAAAACCAUAAGUCACCCUGACAGAUAGCAGAGCUAGCGUUAGCUACUUGGUAGUGGAACAACACAUACGACCAAACUGAGAAAC